AGGAGGGGAUCCGGUUUCCCUACAAACAGGCCUCUUGUUUCUGAAGGGAAAAAAGGGAUGAGUCUGGUUGGCCAGGAGUUGGUCAGUGUGCCUAGUCUUUGGGGGGCUGAGUAGGGGGCAGAAAAUAAAUUAACAGAAGAAGAAAAGAAAGAAAAAGGAAAGAAAGAAGGGCGUUUGACACUUUCCCGACGAAGUCCUCCUUACGAAAAGAACACUAAGUGCCUGGAGGAGAAUCAGGUGUGACUUUCACAGCCCAGGCAGGUGUGCCACUAUUUUCCAAAUAAGACAUUGGAGCGAGCCCUUUAGCGUGUUGUGAGGCCAACAUUGGACAUUUCGUGCAAAAGACUGAAUGGAAGUAAUAAAUGGCUGUAGAAGGCAUAGGGGACCAGGAGACAGUAUCACAGAAUCUUCAAGCUAGAAGGAAGGUCCAAGGUGUCUCUGAACCCACACUUGAACAGGAAUCCAUUGUACAACAGGCCAAGCAAGUGAUCAAUGAAGAACUCAAUUGAUGGGGACCUCACUAGCUCCCUAAGCAACCCGUUGUGGCUUGGGAUGCUUCUCUUUACUCUGCCUCUCCUCAGCUUCUACCCAUUGCUUUUAAAGGUGACCUCUGGGGCAGAGCACAACAAAUCGGAUUCCUCUUCUCUUGGCAGCUCUUCAAAUACCUGAUGAUGGUUAUCUUUCCCAUGUUAAACAUCUCCAAGGCCUUCAACCAGUCUCUAGUGUCUCCUCUCUGAAGUCAUAGAGACAGUUGCUAGAUUGUCAUGUAUGAGGAACAGCAACUGGCUGCAAUAUAGAAUGCAUGGGGGUGGGAAUGGGGGGAGAGAAGUACCUUGUAGAAAGGUAGGCUAGAACCAGAUUGUGAGAGGCUUUUAAACUCCCAAAAGAGGAUUAAUUUAUUUAUCUUUCCCGGAGGUAAUAGGGAGCCUUGGAACUUCCUUGAGCAGGGCAUUACACGUUCUGACGUGUGCUUUAGGAACAUUAAUUUGGUAGCUGUAGAUUGAUUUGGAGGAUGGAUUAGAGAGAAGAAAGGUAGGGAGAUGGAUGAGGGGGUCAUGCAACAUUCCAGGGGAAAGGUUAUUUAGGACCUCAACUGUGUGAGUGCAAAGGAGAGGAGAGAUGUGAGUGGUACUGUGUGGGUAGAGUCAAGAGGCAUCUGAUUAUAUUGGGGAUCAGGGUGAGGGAGAGUGAAGAGCUGAGGAUACUCCAAGGCUGUAAACCCAGUGACUAGAAGGGCAGUGGUCUUCUCUGCGUUCGGAAGCUCGGGGAAGUUUUCUUGUACUGCUUCCUGCAUCAUAAUGUUCAAGUUCGUGACUUGUAGUGCUCUUUUGGGAGACCUAUAAUCCUUAAAUUAUCUACACACCUCCUGCCAUUUGGAUGGCUCUCCUAGAUCCCAAGGGCUGGGAAGAGCUGCUAGAGUGCCUUGUCUUCCAUGCACAGCUGUCUGUCUUAGCCUAGGAUCCUCAACCCUAACACCCACACUUCAUCCCAGGACUUGUGAAGAUCAAACGGGAUGAUGAAUGGGAAAGCACUUUAAAAGUUGUGUUGUUCUGGGCAAGUGAGACAGAUAACGGUCAUUAUUCACUCCACCAAAUAACCGGAGUCAUGAAUUAUGUUUCUCUUUCCACUUGUGUUCUUAAAGGGCAUUUCAGUUUUUUUCUUGAUAGAGGUCAAUGAUAAGUCGGGGCCUGAAUGCAGGCUCGACUUUGGAUUCUGGCUUAUUGUAAUUGUCUGUAUUUGUAGCUUUUCUCAAUAAUGCUCUAGCAUAGGGCUUUGUAUACCAUAAUCAAUCAAUUAAUAAAUAUUUAUGAAGCACCUACUAUGUGUUAGGCACUGUGCAGUAAUUAAUGUUUUAUUGAAUUAAUGUGGCUAAGGCAGAUCAGGGCAGAAUACUGGUGGAUAAUAAUGACAUCUCCUACUUCUACAACAUUUUGUGCUUUAUUAUUUUCCUCCCAAUGAGAUGAGGAAGUUCAAACCCAGAGAAGAAGACUUCCUGAAAGUCACAUAGCUCAUCAGUUUUGGAACUGGGCUUCCGCUGCAAAUCGGCUAACUCUAAAUCCCGCGCUCUUCCCUCUCUCUUUCUCUGCCUCUUAAAACUUGCGGGUGAUUUCCAUGGACUACAGAACCUCACAGCUAGCAGAGCCUGCAGAAGGCUUUAGUUCAAUAAUCAAGUCAUUCUCCUUGAAGAUAGAUGUGAAUUUGGGGCCACAAGGGAGCCUGCUCUGGGCCUGUCCUGUAAUAUACACAGAGGGGCUCUCUUCUUUGCCGCAUCACUGGGCCUGCUAUUUCAGGAGCCUUUGAGACUGGGACUGGGAGCUGAGCAGGGUUAAUCACAGGUCUGUGGUACAGCUGUGCACAUCUGUAAUGGUCUCUGGCUGAAUUACCCUGGAGUCAGAGGAAGUUCAUAUUGUGUUGGGCUGAUUCCCAUCAAGCUCCGUGGGGGAAGUGCUGGGGCCUGAAGAGAAUGUCAUCGGGGGUAGAGGGGAUGGAGAGGAAGCUUGUGUUUCUAUAGUGCUUUGGGGUUUAUUAGUAAUAAAUGACAAUAAUAAUAACAUUUCUGUAACCAUUUGGAGUUUA
Phascolarctos cinereus (koala) is the source of this 2577-nucleotide non-coding RNA. The record is from RefSeq and is a predicted model, not a curated record. Lineage: Eukaryota; Metazoa; Chordata; Mammalia; Diprotodontia; Phascolarctidae.